GUGGGGAAUCUUGCGCAAUGGGCGAAAGCCUGACGCAGCCAUGCCGCGUGGAUGAUGAAGGUCUUAGGAUUGUAAAAUCCUUUCACCGGUGAAGAUAAUGACUGUAGCCGGAGAAGAAGCCCCGGCUAACUUCGUGCCAGCAGCCGCGGUAAUACGAAGGGGGCUAGCGUUGCUCGGAUUUACUGGGCGUGAAGGGCGCGUAGGCGGACAUUUAAGUCAGGGGUGAAAUCCCGGUGCUCAACCUCGGAACUGCCUUUGAUACUGGGUGUCUUGAGUAUGAGAGAGGUGUGUGGAACUCCGAGUGUAGAGGUGAAAUUCGUAGAUAUUCGGAGGAACACCAGUGGCGAAGGCGGCUCACUGGUCCAUUACUGACGCUGAGGUGCGAAAGCGUGGGGAGCAAACAGGAUUAGAUACCCGAGUAGUCC
This 425-nucleotide ribosomal RNA is filed under the name uncultured bacterium. RNAcentral's name for it is "partial 16S ribosomal RNA". It matches the Rfam family "Bacterial small subunit ribosomal RNA", at positions 354 to 796 of the family's 1533-position model. The record is from RNAcentral.